CACGUAGGGGGCAAGCGUUGUCCGGAUUUAUUGGGCGUAAAGAGCUCGUAGGCGGCUUAGUAAGUCGGGUGUGAAACCUCCAGGCUCAACCUGGAGACGCCACCCGAUACUGCUGUGGCUAGAGUCCGGUAGGGGAGCGUGGAAUUCCUGGUGUAGCGGUGAAAUGCGCAGAUAUCAGGAAGAACACCCGUGGCGAAGGCGGCUCUCUGGGACGGUACUGACGCUGAGACGCGAAAGCGUGGGGAGCAAACAGG
RNAcentral lists this ribosomal RNA (254 nucleotides) under uncultured bacterium. Its description in RNAcentral is "partial 16S ribosomal RNA". It matches the Rfam family "Bacterial small subunit ribosomal RNA", at positions 524 to 776 of the family's 1533-position model. The record is from RNAcentral.